CUCUUAAGCUGGUCUCCGGCUCACUUGACUCCAAAGUCUUCGCUCUUAGACUACGGGAAUGCGGUGGCAGGGAGGGACACAAAGCAGCGACAAGGACUUGGCGAAUGAGAGAUCCAGGACGACAGGCUCACCAGGUGCUUGCUAGAAAGGCGGAGGGGAAAGAAGACUCCAGGAGGGUGAAUAAGCCAUCCCGACCCAGGGGAAGGUGAUGACCCCAAGGACUAGAAGGUGAACAACAGAAGGAAGAGACCUGGAUCCAUGCUCUGAAGAUGACACGCUGUUACCAAUUCACUGACUUGGGUCCUCUGGCUCUAGGGGUAGAAAUGGACAGAACCUGUGAGACAUCAAGAAGCUAGCGCUUCAGGGGCCGAGCGCUAUAGCCCUCCGAAUUUGACAGCAGCGAACUAGUGGCGCCCUCUAGUGUUAGCUCUUGCUUACUUGCAGCUUCUGGGUAGGCAUUCCAGUCCUCUCCUUCAGCCCCUGCUUCACUACUCUUCCCACGGCCUCCCAAGCUGCUGUUGUUGCUGACUGCUGCCGCCCAUGCUGCCCUUUGAAAAGCAGCUACUGCUAGACUCUUCCUUCCUGUUUCUCUGUUUUGGCUGAAGUUAGAGUUGUCAAGCAGCCUCGGCCCCUCUGCUUCUGCAGCUCCGGCUGCCACGCCUCUGCCUUUGCUCCACUGUUCCCGCUACUUUCUCUUCGUUUUCAGCUCAGCCUGCACUGCUAACUGUGAGCAAGAUAAGACACCAACAGAAGCCUCUUGUUGGGCCUCAUGUAGUAACACUAAGGCAAAUAGCACAAGACUGAGCCUUCCAGCCAAUUCGCUGAGUGGAACGCCCCGCUUAUAUAGAGCGAGAAAGUGUACCAGUCACAGCACACCUCCUGUGCAAAUGACAACUUGUUCUUGCACCAGUCACAGCCUGUUUUAACAUUUUGUGCUUAUAUUUAUUACACGUGUUUGAAGUGUAUUGCGCCAUGUGCUUGUCUGGUGCCCAUGGAAGUCAGAAGAGGGCACUGGAUCCCCUGGCCACCGUGUGGAUGAUGGAAACCAAACCCAGGUCCCCCGCGAGAGCCACGAGUGCUCUCAGGCACUGAGUCAUCAUUCAAGCCCCUGCGUCCUGUUGCUUAGCACCCAUCACUGCAGUCCUCUGCAUCCCUCUGCCAGGCUACCAAAAGAAGCUCUCCUCCUCUGACCUGGGUAUAAACAGUUGCAGGAUCAUCUAGAAUCCAGAGGUUGGUGACAGCAAAAUGUCUGGUGUGAACUGUUUCGAACACCCUUAACUGAAGCCGAGCCUUCAGGAGCUGGGAGCAAUCAACUUUGAUCAUCCUGGCGUUUGCUCUAGACAGCCACGGACGAGACAGCCAGUGCUGGUGUAAGGACAGUAGUCUGACAGGCUAUUUGUCUGACAGUCCUUUUGCUCAAGGCAGCCAGGGUAGCAAGGGAGAGCCCCAUAGCUGCCAAUUAGGGAGUCAAUUAGGAAAAUUAUAGGAACACGGACUUCAGAAGAUGUACUUAGGCCAAGGACUCAUGGUUAACACUAAUAGUAGUUUUUCAGAGUUUAAGAGUGCUGAACACCUACCUGCCCAGUGCCCCAGGCAAGGAGCACCUGUGCAGGUAGUCGGUCUGCUGGAGGCUGAAGAGGGAGCCAGAGGUCCUGCGCCAAGGUACACUUACCUCUCCCUCAAUAAAGAAAACCCAGAGCACGAACCUCCCCCAAUAUCAAGACUGGAACCACUGAGGCCAUUCAGAAUGGCAAGUCCCAGCUGAUCAGCAGAUAGCGUCAUCAGAGAAGGCACCACCUCCUGGGGCAUCUCAACAGUGGGCCAGACAGGCACGCAGUCAGUGUUAGUAACGGGAAGCCCCAAGCCCAGAGUCUCUCCACACAAAUGCUUCAAACUCCUGCAGCCCUGAACCCUGACAGACUCUUCCAAGCUUCAAGACUGUCAACCCUGACCUACGUUGCCUUCCCACAGACUGAGGAAUCUUCCUCCUGGCUCAGAGGCAGGUGAGCGAGGUCCACCUGUUCCUGAGACUCUGGGCAGGUGUUGGCCAUAUGUUUAUGGGACCCUUUCCCUCCUGCUGGAUUGCCUCGUCCAAGCCUUUAUAGGAAGGUUUGUGCUCACUCUUAUUGCAUCUUGUCAUGCUAGGUUAGGUUGAUAUCACUAACAGGCCUGCUCAUUUCUGAAGGGAAAUGCAGGGGCAGUGGAUCUGAGGGAGAAAGGAGGUGGUUGUGACAGGCACCUGAGAGGAGGGAGUGGAGGCUGCAGUU
Molecule: long non-coding RNA, 2267 nt
Organism: Alexandromys fortis (reed vole)
Lineage: Eukaryota; Metazoa; Chordata; Mammalia; Rodentia; Cricetidae
Exons: 3
Source: RefSeq, a predicted model, not a curated record